This 87-nucleotide transfer RNA is filed under the name Clostridiaceae bacterium. RNAcentral describes it as "tRNA-Leu". It matches the Rfam family "tRNA". Rfam says of the family: Transfer RNA (tRNA) molecules are approximately 80 nucleotides in length. Their secondary structure includes four short double-helical elements and three loops (D, anti-codon, and T loops). Further hydrogen bonds mediate the characteristic L-shaped molecular structure. tRNAs have two regions of fundamental functional importance: the anti-codon, which is responsible for specific mRNA codon recognition, and the 3' end, to which the tRNAs corresponding amino acid is attached (by aminoacyl-tRNA synthetases). tRNAs cope with the degeneracy of the genetic code in two manners: having more than one tRNA (with a specific anti-codon) for a particular amino acid; and 'wobble' base-pairing, i.e. permitting non-standard base-pairing at the 3rd anti-codon position. RNAcentral also lists the same sequence under 1 other name. The record is from RNAcentral. Lineage: Bacteria; Bacillati; Bacillota; Clostridia; Eubacteriales; Clostridiaceae.
GCGGGAAUGGCGGAAUUGGCAGACGCGCUAGUUUCAGGUAUUAGUGGGUGUACGCCCAUGCAGGUUCAAGUCCUGUUUCCCGCACCA